This 497-nucleotide ribosomal RNA is filed under the name uncultured bacterium. Its description in RNAcentral is "partial 16S ribosomal RNA". It matches the Rfam family "Bacterial small subunit ribosomal RNA", at positions 28 to 507 of the family's 1533-position model. The record is from RNAcentral.
GAUGAACGCUGGCGGCGUGCCUAAUACAUGCAAGUAGAGCGCACAGACGAGGAGCUUCCUCCUCUGACGUUUGCCGCGGGCGGGUGAGUCACACAUGGAAACUCUCUCUAUAAGGCUGGGAUAACUUCGGGACGCCGGCUCUUAUCCCAGAUCAUAUAUUGAUGCGCAUGGUUCACUAGUGAAAUGCGGUUUUGCUGUUACUUAUUGAUGGUUCCUCGCCGCAUUAGGUAGUUGGUAAGGUAACGGCUUACCAAGACGACGAUUCGUCGCCGACCUGAGAGGUGGAUCGGCCACACGGGAACUGAGAAACGGUCAAGACUCCUCGGGGAGGCAGCAGUAGGGAAUCUUCCGAAAUGGGCGAAAGCCGGACGGAGCAACGCCGGUUGAGGGAUGAAGGUCUUCGGAUCUAAAAACUCUGUUAUUAGGGAAGACCAAAUGUGGAAGUAACUAUGCACGUCUUGACGGUACCUUAUCAGAAAGCCACGGCUAACUACGUG